CGGCGGACGGGUGAGUAACGCGUGGGUAACCUGCCUCAUACAGGGGGAUAACGGUUAGAAAUGACUGCUAAUACCGCAUAAGACCACAGCACCGCAUGGUGCGGGGUAAAAACUCCGGUGGUAUGAGAUGGACCCGCGUCUGAUUAGCUGGUUGGUAAGGUAACGGCUUACCAAGGCGACGAUCAGUAGCCGACCUGAGAGGGUGACCGGCCACAUUGGGACUGAGACACGGCCCAA
Molecule: ribosomal RNA, 237 nt
Filed under: uncultured bacterium
Lineage: Bacteria
Description: partial 16S ribosomal RNA
Rfam family: Bacterial small subunit ribosomal RNA
Source: RNAcentral